Kluyvera intermedia is the source of this 77-nucleotide non-coding RNA. The record is from Rfam. NCBI's taxonomy places the organism in Bacteria, Pseudomonadati, Pseudomonadota, Gammaproteobacteria, Enterobacterales, Enterobacteriaceae.
AGUCAUGACUGCUAUUCUCCGAGAAUAGUGAUUGUGAUUAGCGAGGCGCUCGUGUUCCAGCACGGGCGUCUUGCGAA